Molecule: long non-coding RNA, 1939 nt
Organism: Alligator mississippiensis (American alligator)
Lineage: Eukaryota; Metazoa; Chordata; Crocodylia; Alligatoridae
Exons: 2
Source: RefSeq, a predicted model, not a curated record
GACAGGCCCUGCUCCAAAGAACAUGCACUUCAAAAGACCAAACGUAACAAUUUGAUGAAGCAAACAUAGACAAGGUAAUACAAAUAAUGAAGUGUUUCAGUACAGAAUCGCUGUGUCCCUCGUUUGCGGUCAAGCAGCAGCACUAAUCACAAUGCACUCUCUGCCUCACUGCAGCUUUAAAAUUGUACCCAGCUGAAUAGAUACGAAGGCCUGCCCUGCAGAGCAAUAAGUGACGUAACCCCAGCAGGGGCUUUUGAAUGGGAGAGAACAAAAAAAUGGUCAUUCACAGAGGGCCAGGGAAGAGUCCAAGCCUGGGAUUGGCUGAGAAGACUUAUUUAAAAGGGGGAGUGGUUAUCCUGGGGGGAAGAAACAAAAAAACAAAACAUAAAAAAGGGAGGAGAACAGAGGGCAUGCAGGCUAGGGAAAAGGCCUUGCCACAGGCCGUCCCUUGGACAGCCCUUGUUGGAGCAAGAGGCUUGUGAGGAGCUGAGGCCCCCUGGACUGAGGGAGCAGCCUGGCCAGCUAGAAGGACAGAGAAGCCCAGCUGUCCUGCCUCUCUUCCAUCCGUCCCCCUUUGGAGCCCUGUUGGGAUGGGCCCAGAAGAGCAUCUGCCCAUCAGAAGACCCCAAGCUGGGGAGGACCUCCUUCAAGCCCUGGUGUGGUGAGUAUUGGUGUAAGGGGUCCCAAUCAUCAUGACCACGGCAGAGCUUCUGCAUUGGUGCACAGAGCUGCAAGCGAGCCCAGAGAGGGCACUUAUGAUUACCAAAAUCUCGGUGUGUGAACUGCCAACUGCAGUGGAUGCCUUACGUAUUCCCCAGAUGCUAGAGGUCGCAGAUGAGGAAGUCUGGGCUAUAACUCUAGUGGACAGGGGAGCUGUGCCCCACCCAGACUCUAGGGCCAGCUCUGAAUCCUCCCCGGGGGAGCUGAAGGCUCUGCGCCAGCCGCCCCAUCUGGGAGUGGAGUAGGCUCCAGAACACAGGACCUGGAGUGGGCAAAGGCAUUGGGAAAAGCCCUGAAGGAGGCCCUGCAGCCAUCAGCCGAGUCAUUUGACUACAAGAGUCUCCACAUAUUUUCAGGGAAGGACCCACUCCCUCCAGGGGAAAUGGCUUUCGAGGCAUGGCAUUCCCAUGUGACGGAGACUUUGGCCUCAUGGGCAGUCUCAGAAGAGGAGAAGAGAAGGCGAUUGCUGGAGAGUCUCCGAGGCCCGGCUUUUGAAAUGGUUUGAAUAAUUAAGAAGGAAAACACCAACAUAUCGGUUCUUCAGUGUCUUGAACUCUUGUGUUGCGUUUUUGGGAAAGUUAGCAUUUUGGGGAAAUCUAGCAUUUUUGGGAAAUCAGUGCAAACUCAGGCUUUGUUUCUUGAAUUUAAUAGGACAUACCAACUAAAAGGAGAAAGUGCUUCAGCUUACGCCCUGCGGUUAGGGAAAGUACUACAGCAGCUACUGGCCCAAGGUGGACUCACUCAGGACAUGGCUGGCAAGGCUCUUUUGCAGCAGCUCUGGGUAGGGAUACUUUAUGAUGAGCAACUGUUAAGUGAUCUCAACCUCCUCAGGACAAGAGAGGAUCCCCCUACAUUUGUGCAGUUGCUUCGGGAAAUCAGGGAGGCUGAAAGCUGCCCUAAAGGCAUCUAUCAAAGCUGAAACACAGGUGCAAGCCAGGGUCCUUGCCCCUGGGAAGGGUCCCUGAGGCCACCAUGGACCGAGGGCAUACCAGCACCCUGCCUCAUGCACCCCGCUGGAGGGGGGCUGUGGGUCUUGGCAUCCCACCUCCAGACUGUUGACCCUUAAGAGACAGCCUCAGAGUGAAGACUGCAUCCUGACCAGAUGUAUAUGACUCUGAUGACAGCCCUAAGAUGGGUAGAUCUAGAAUUGCCUGGUUGUUUGUAUUGCUGCUUUUUUGUUAUCACUGUAUCAAUAAAUGUGCCUAUUAUCGAAUGGAAA